Molecule: non-coding RNA, 109 nt
Filed under: Bacillus sp. (in: firmicutes)
Lineage: Bacteria; Bacillati; Bacillota; Bacilli; Caryophanales; Bacillaceae
Description: Bacillus sp. SAM-I sequence
Rfam family: SAM riboswitch aptamer (S box leader)
About the family: The SAM riboswitch is found upstream of a number of genes which code for proteins involved in methionine or cysteine biosynthesis in Gram-positive bacteria. The SAM riboswitch acts at the level of transcription termination control.
Source: RNAcentral
UUCUUAUCAAGAGCAGGCGGAGGGAAAAGCCCGAUGAAGCCCGGCAACCGACUUAAACCAGUUUUAGGCACGGUGCUAAUUCUUGCAGCAACAAGCUGAUAGAUGAGAA